UUAAGUGUGUAUAUUGGUUGUGGGUGCUGGUGGGUUGGGUUGGGUUGUGAACUUCUCAAAGAGUCGCCCUCUCCGGUUUCAGCAAUGUAGUUUCAUUAUCUGUGUUUUUUAGCGUCUUUUGGAAAUUGGAACCUUUGCUACUGAGUUGUGUAGGUUGUAGAGGCUUUAAGAGUAAUGGUAAUGGGUGACCCCUUUGGAGAUACUAUAUCUAAGGUACACUGUUGGAAAUCAGAGAUUUAAACAAUUAAAAGAACAAGAAGCAAGGAGGAAACAACAAAAAGAGGCAGAAAAAGCUAAAGAGGCUUCAUUGACAAAUGAAGUUGACCAUGAACUUAAAGCCGAUUCUAUGAGUUCUGCUAAUGGAAGUCCUUCAUCUUCAGAUUCCAGUCAAGUUGAUAGAACUUCGAUUUCUAAAGGGAAAAUGGCGAAGAUUCGGUUUUGUAUAAUAGCAGAAGAGAUCGACAGCAUCUUGAUGAAAAUCUUGAAAAGGAAAAAGCCGCCACGUGUACCACAGAAAACAAAAGCGCAACCAAAGAUGAACAAGAAGAAUGAUCAUGAACAACCAAGCAAGAAAAAAAUAAUGUGGGAGUACAAAAGAACUUGGUUUAGGUUCAUGAACACAUGGUCAUGCACACGCACCGUCAGGUUCGUUUUGAUUAUACACAAGAUAAGGUGUAGAUACGUUUAGAGGGGUUCGGAUACAAUGAUGUGGAAUAUUUGUUUCUAUAAUCAAGUUUCCAUGAUAUAUAGGCAGUGAGAACUUAGAAUUCGGGUUUAAAAUUUGUCCCG
Long non-coding RNA from Helianthus annuus (common sunflower), 789 nucleotides. RefSeq lists it as uncharacterized. The record is from RefSeq and is a predicted model, not a curated record. NCBI's taxonomy places the organism in Eukaryota, Viridiplantae, Streptophyta, Magnoliopsida, Asterales, Asteraceae. The transcript has 3 exons.